This 441-nucleotide ribosomal RNA is filed under the name uncultured bacterium. RNAcentral's name for it is "partial 16S ribosomal RNA". It matches the Rfam family "Bacterial small subunit ribosomal RNA", at positions 338 to 795 of the family's 1533-position model. The record is from RNAcentral.
CCUACGGGAGGCAGCAGUGGGGAAUAUUGCACAAUGGGGGAAACCCUGAUGCAGCGACGCCGCGUGGGUGACGAAGUAUUUCGGUAUGUAAAGCCCUAUCAGCAGGGAAGAAGAUGACAGUACCUGACCAAGAAGCCCCGGCUAACUACGUGCCAGCAGCCGCGGUAAUACGUAGGGGGCAAGCGUUAUCCGGAUUUACUGGGUGUAAAGGGAGCGUAGGUGGCAUGGCAAGCCAGAAGUGAAAACCCGGGGCUUAACCCCGCGGAUUGCUUUUGGAACUGUCAGGCUGGAGUGCAGGAGGGGCAGGCGGAAUUCCUGGUGUAGCGGUGAAAUGCGUGGAUAUCAGGAGGAACACCGGUGGCGAAGGCGGCCUGCUGGACUGUAACUGACACUGAGGCUCGAAAGCGUGGGGAGCAAACAGGAUUAGAUACCCCAGUAGUC